Molecule: ribosomal RNA, 504 nt
Filed under: uncultured bacterium
Lineage: Bacteria
Description: partial 16S ribosomal RNA
Rfam family: Bacterial small subunit ribosomal RNA
Source: RNAcentral
GACGAACGCUGGCGGCGUGCCUAAUACAUGCAAGUAGAACGCACAGUUUAUACCGUAGCUUGCUACACCAUAGACUGUGAGUUGCGAACGGGUGAGUAACGCGUAGGUAACCUGCCUGGUAGCGGGGGAUAACUAUUGGAAACGAUAGCUAAUACCGCAUAAUAUUAAUUAUUGCAUGAUAAUUAAUUGAAAGGUGCAAUUGCACCACUACCAGAUGGACCUGCGUUGUAUUAGCUAGUAGGGGAGGUAACGGCUCACCUAGGCGACGAUACAUAGCCGACCUGAGAGGGUGAUCGGCCACACUGGGACUGAGACACGGCCCAGACUCCUACGGGAGGCAGCAGUAGGGAAUCUUCGGCAAUGGACGAAAGUCUGACCGAGAAACGCCGCGUGAGUGAAGAAGGUUUUCGGAUCGUAAAGCUCUGUUGUAAGAGAAGAACGGGUGUGAGAGUGGAAAGUUCACACUGUGACGGUAUCUUACCAGAAAGGGACGGCUAACUACGU